Molecule: ribosomal RNA, 478 nt
Filed under: uncultured bacterium
Lineage: Bacteria
Description: partial 16S ribosomal RNA
Rfam family: Bacterial small subunit ribosomal RNA
Source: RNAcentral
GAUGAACGCUAGCGGCAGGCCUAACACAUGCAAGUCGAGGGAGAAGCCCUUUCGGGGGCUGAAACCGGCGCACGGGUGCGUAACGCGUAUGCAACCUACCUUUCACAGGGGGAUAGCCCGAAGAAAUUUGGAUUAAUACCCCAUAAUAUUAUUGGAUGGCAUCAUUUGAUAAUUAAAACUGCGGUGGUGAAAGAUGGGCAUGCGUCCUAUUAGCUAGUUGGAGUGGUAACGGCACCCCAAGGCUACGAUAGGUAGGGGUCCUGAGAGGGAGAUCCCCCACGACGGGAAUGAGACGAGGAACAGGAUCCCAACGGAGGCAGGCAGGAGGAAUAGUGGUAGAAGGGUGGAAGAAUGAAACAGGCCAGGCGGGGGGAGGAAGAAAGGCUUUUUGGGUGGUAACCGGCUUUAUAAGGGAAGAAUAAGGCGUACGUGUACGUUGAUGACGGUACCAUAUGAAUAAGCAGCGGCUAACUCCGUG